Molecule: ribosomal RNA, 680 nt
Filed under: Botrylloides leachii
Lineage: Eukaryota; Metazoa; Chordata; Ascidiacea; Stolidobranchia; Styelidae
Description: SSU rRNA
Rfam family: Eukaryotic small subunit ribosomal RNA
Source: RNAcentral
AGCUCCAACAGUGUAUGCUAAAGUUGUUGCGGUUGAAAAGCUCGUAGUUGGAUAUUGGGCGAGCGCGGUCGGUCCGUCGCAGGGCGUGCACUGGUCGCGUUCGCCUCGACUUCGGUUCUCCGUCGGUGCUCUUGACUGAGUGUCGGCGGUGGCCGAGAAGUUUACUUUGAAAAAAUUAGAGUGUUCAAAGCAGGCUGGUCGCCUGUAUAGUGUUGCAUGGAAUAAUGGAAUAGGACCUCGGUUCUAUUUUGUUGGUUUUCGGAACGGAGGUAAUGAUUAAGAGGGACAGACGGGGGUGUCCGUACUCUGCCGUUAGAGGUGAAAUUCUUGGAUCGGCGGAAGACGAACUACUGCGAAAGCAUUCACCAAGAAUGUUUUCUUUAAUCAAGAGCGAAAGUCAGAGGUUCGAAGACGAUCAGAUACCGUCCUAGUUCUGACUAUAAACGAUGCCAACUAGCGAUCGGGAGGCGUUACCAUGACGACCUUCCCGGCAGCUUCCGGGAAACCAAAGUCUUUGGGUUCCGGGGGAAGUAUGGUUGCAAAGCUGAAACUUAAAGGAAUUGACGGAAGGGCACCACCAGGAGUGGAGCCUGCGGCUUAAUUUGACUCAACACGGGGAAACUCACCCGGCCCGGACACAGGAAGGAUUGACAGAUUGAGAGCUCUUUCAUGAUUCUGUG